CGGACGGGUGAGUAACGCGUGGGUAACCUGCCUUGUACAGGGGGAUAACAGUUGGAAACGGCUGCUAAUACCGCAUAAGCGCACGGCAUCGCAUGAUGCAGUGUGAAAAACUCCGGUGGUAUAAGAUGGACCCGCGUUGGAUUAGCUAGUUGGUGAGGUAACGGCCCACCAAGGCGACGAUCCAUAGCCGACCUGAGGGGUGACCGGCCACAUUGGGACUGAGACACGGCCCAA
RNAcentral lists this ribosomal RNA (234 nucleotides) under uncultured bacterium. Its description in RNAcentral is "partial 16S ribosomal RNA". It matches the Rfam family "Bacterial small subunit ribosomal RNA", at positions 99 to 334 of the family's 1533-position model. The record is from RNAcentral.